Molecule: ribosomal RNA, 610 nt
Filed under: Tannerella forsythia
Lineage: Bacteria; Pseudomonadati; Bacteroidota; Bacteroidia; Bacteroidales; Tannerellaceae
Description: bacterial SSU rRNA
Rfam family: Bacterial small subunit ribosomal RNA
Source: RNAcentral
UGCGUAUGUAACCUGCCCGCAACAGAGGGAUAACCCGGCGAAAGUCGGACUAAUACCUCAUAAAACAGGGGUUCCGCAUGGGGCUAUUUGUUAAAGAUUUAUUGGUUGCGGAUGGGCAUGCGUACCAUUAGGUAGUUGGUGAGGUAACGGCUCACCAAGCCAUCGAUGGUUAGGGGUUCUGAGAGGAAGGUCCCCCACACUGGUACUGAGACACGGACCAGACUCCUACGGGAGGCAGCAGUGAGGAAUAUUGGUCAAUGGGCGAGAGCCUGAACCAGCCAAGUCGCGUGAAGGAUGACUGCCCUAUGGGUUGUAAACUUCUUUUACAGGGGAAUAAAAUGAGAUACGUGUAUUUUAUUGCAUGUACCUUGUGAAUAAGCAUCGGCUAACUCCGUGCCAGCAGCCGCGGUAAUACGGAGGAUGCGAGCGUUAUCCGGAUUUAUUGGGUUUAAAGGGUGCGUAGGUGGGCUGUUAAGUCCGCGGUGAAAGUUUGUCGCUUAACGAUAAAAUUGCCGUUGAAACUGGUAGUCUUGAGUAUAGAUGAAGUAGGCGGAAUGCGUGGUGUAGCGGUGAAAUGCAUAGAGAUCACGCAGAACUCCGAUGCGAUGCC